GGAGGAGUGGCAGAGUGGUUGAAUGCGGCGGUCUUGAAAACCGUUAGGCUCGAAAGGGUCUCGGGGGUUCGAAUCCCCCCUCCUCCGCCA
This 90-nucleotide transfer RNA is filed under the name Acidobacteriota bacterium. RNAcentral's name for it is "Acidobacteria bacterium tRNA-Ser". It matches the Rfam family "tRNA". From Rfam's summary of the family: Transfer RNA (tRNA) molecules are approximately 80 nucleotides in length. Their secondary structure includes four short double-helical elements and three loops (D, anti-codon, and T loops). RNAcentral also lists the same sequence under 1 other name. The record is from RNAcentral. Lineage: Bacteria; Pseudomonadati; Acidobacteriota.